RNAcentral lists this ribosomal RNA (428 nucleotides) under uncultured bacterium. RNAcentral's name for it is "bacterial SSU rRNA". It matches the Rfam family "Bacterial small subunit ribosomal RNA", at positions 30 to 458 of the family's 1533-position model. The record is from RNAcentral.
AUUGAACGCUGGCGGCAUGCCUUACACAUGCAAGUCGAACGGCAGCACGGGAGCAAUCCUGGUGGCGAGUGGCGAACGGGUGAGUAAUAUAUCGGAACGUGCCCAGUCGUGGGGAUAACGUAGCGAAAGCUACGCUAAUACCGCAUACGAUCUAUGGAUGAAAGCGGGGGAUCGCAAGACCUCGCGCGAUUGGAGCGGCCGAUAUCAGAUUAGGUAGUUGGUGAGGUAAAGGCUCACCAAGCCGACGAUCUGUAGCUGGUCUGAGAGGACGACCAGCCACACUGGGACUGAGACACGGCCCAGACUCCUACGGGAGGCAGCAGUGGGGAAUUUUGGGACAAUGGGCGCAAGCCUGAUCCAGCAAUGCCGCGUGCAGGAUGAAGGCCUUCGGUUGUAACGUGACUUUGUUACGGUAACGAAAGGUACGU